GAGAACCAGUCCUUGAGGAGGCAGAAGGAAGACUUUAUACUUACUCAGCAAUGACGUACUGCCACUGGGAAAUAUGGUAGCAUGCUAACAGGAUUUUUUUGAGGUUUUUUGUUGCCUUUUUUUUCCUAGUUAGAGAAAUUUCCCUUGAAACAGGAAGAAGAAGCUUGGUAGCAGAGAGAAUACUCUCAGCUUUGGCAGGCAUCACCUGUCAGGCCGAUCAGACGAUGGACUUGUGGUCAUUACUCAACAGACCAGGCUCCUGGAAGACAGAAAGUAAUAUGCAGAUACUGUGCACCAGGUGAACUAGGAUUACAGAUUGGACAUUCAGAGCAUCUCGUGCAUGUUGGAGGAAUUUCUUGAUGUUGGCAACAAGCUGAUAGAGUGGCAAUCCCCCACAAGCAGUGCAGCAGAGAAGAAAAGAGAAGAUUUUGGACUUGCCAUCCUUACAGAAUAUUUCUGCCAACUCAGGCAAUACCAAAAAAGCACAUAUUAGAGACAGCAGAAUAACCAGUGAUGCACUAAUUCUCUGUAGGGAAUACUGAGAUAGCUACCAAUAAUGAAAACUAGCAAUUACACAAACUCAAAACCUAACCUAACAAGUGGGGAAUGUGAGCUACAAAUAGAUGCUCACUGAUCCUCAUUCUUACAAAUCCAUCAGCCCACAGGACACCUUGCAAAACAGGAGCAUCUUUCUUCCCCAACAUGAGCCUCUGGGAGCACAUGGAUCCCUUUCCUGUACUGUAACAUAUUUUUUAGAGAACAGCAGGUUAAGCUGAGGGUCUUGGCUGUACCUUCAAGAGGCUCAGUGAACUUAGGCCAACUCAUCCAAGAAUCAGCUGGUGAAGGGUAAAGGUUGGAAUCAAAACUUCAUUCCUGUGGCAUAAUGAGAGAAACAUCCAUAGCACAAAACCUUUUCUAGGCAGGAGAGAAAAGCAGGCCUCUCAGAAACCUGCUGGAUGCUGUCAAAAUGAUCAUCUUUGGUGUUAGGGACUAUGGCAAAUUGCACUCUUGUUUCUGCAUUGAGUAUGUUUUCUGACCUUGUCUUCUUCAUAUAUAGCAAAGGAUGGACUCAGUACAGAUAUCUGUGUCUGCUACUGAACUGGUCACCCUUCUAGUCAACAGAGAGAGUGGUCAAUGAAAUCUUAAGGUAAAAUUCGUGUACAGGUACUCUACACAGGUAGGACAACUUGUGUCCCUGAAAUGCAUCCUUUUUUUCACAGCCCAGCACAGGAACCUUGGCUUACUAUCUCUCAUGUAAGUACCUAUGUUGUAAGCCCGAACUAGGUUAUAUGAAUCCCACCCAAAAUAGCAUUCAUCUUAGAAAAUGAAAAGCCAAGCAGUCAAACAAAAAUUUGAGCAGGGCAUCAUGACUGAAAGAGACUUCUCCCACCAGAUGGUUUCUUCCUGGGAAGACGAAGAGGAUGAACCAUGCACAAGGGUAUUAAUUUGCUUUGACUAACAUAUAAUUAGGACGUGAAGAGAUGCACUACAGGUGCAAGGCAGUAUAAGAGCCUGUGUGAGAUCAGCAUACAGUAGACCAAAGUUGAUUUAACUAGAGAGUGGGUUGCACACAAUUACAUUGUUGAAAGACUGAUACAUACAGUUACUGUUUAAUGAUAAUGGUGGAUGAAGAAUAUUUAGAAAUACAAUGCAAUGGGGAAAAUGCAUCAUAUUUCUAAAAAGGAAAUCCAGGUGAAUCUUUGUAUUAUUUUAAAACUAAAUGCAUAGCCUAGU
This is a long non-coding RNA of Corvus hawaiiensis (hawaiian crow), 1734 nucleotides long. RefSeq lists it as uncharacterized. The record is from RefSeq and is a predicted model, not a curated record. The transcript has 3 exons. NCBI's taxonomy places the organism in Eukaryota, Metazoa, Chordata, Aves, Passeriformes, Corvidae.